Molecule: ribosomal RNA, 254 nt
Filed under: uncultured bacterium
Lineage: Bacteria
Description: partial 16S ribosomal RNA
Rfam family: Bacterial small subunit ribosomal RNA
Source: RNAcentral
UACGGGGGGUGCAAGCGUUGUCCGGAAUGAUUGGGCGUAAAGCAUCUGUAGGCGGUUCUUAAAGUCGACUGUUAAAGCCCAGGGCUCAACUUUGGAUAAGCGGUCGAGUACUUAAGGACUUGAGUAUGGUAGGGGUAGAGGGAAUUCCGAGUGGAGCGGUGAAAUGCACAGAGAUUAGGAAGAACACCGAGGGCGAGAGCACUCUACUGGGCCAUGACUGACACUGAGAGAUGAAAGUUGGGAGGGCGAAAAGG